AUCCAGCUGACGAGUCCCAUAUGAGACGAAACGCGUGUUCUGGAU
Molecule: non-coding RNA, 45 nt
Filed under: Schistosoma margrebowiei
Lineage: Eukaryota; Metazoa; Platyhelminthes; Trematoda; Strigeidida; Schistosomatidae
Source: RNAcentral